This 543-nucleotide ribosomal RNA is filed under the name Solenogastres sp. RNAcentral's name for it is "SSU rRNA". It matches the Rfam family "Eukaryotic small subunit ribosomal RNA", at positions 829 to 1370 of the family's 1831-position model. Lineage: Eukaryota; Metazoa; Mollusca; Solenogastres. The record is from RNAcentral.
CGGGUCUGCGUUUCGUCGGUCUCGAGACCCGAGGCGUUGAUUAAGAGGGACAGCCGGGGGCGUUCGUACCGCGGCGCGAGAGGUGAAAUUCGUGGACCGUCGCGAGACGACCUAGAGCGAAAGCAUCCGCCAAGGGUGUUUUCUUUAGUCAAGAACGAAAGUCAGAGGCUCGAAGACGAUCAGAUACCGUCGUAGUUCUGACCAUAAACGGUGUCGCCUACUCGUCGGCCGCGGAUCUCGAUCGACCCGGCCGGCGACCCCCGGGAAACCUUCGAGGCUUCCGACUCCGGGGGAAGUACGUUUGCAAAGAUGAAACUUAAAGGACUUGACGGAAGGACACCACCAGGAGUGGAGCCUGCGGCUUAAUUCGACUCAACACGGGGCAACUCACCCGGGCCGGACUUCGCGAGGAUUGACAGAUCGAUAGCUCUUUCUCGAUUCGCGGGAUGGUGGUGCAUGGCCGUUCCUAGUUGGUGGAGCGAUUUGUCUGGUUAAUUCCGAUAACGAACGAGACUCGAGCCCGCUAAAUAGACGGGAGAUCCG